This 2037-nucleotide ribosomal RNA is filed under the name Haliplus mucronatus. Its description in RNAcentral is "SSU rRNA". It matches the Rfam family "Eukaryotic small subunit ribosomal RNA". The record is from RNAcentral. Lineage: Eukaryota; Metazoa; Arthropoda; Insecta; Coleoptera; Haliplidae.
UUGUCUCAAAGAUUAAGCCAUGCAUGUCUCAGUACAAACCAAAACAAGGUGAAACCGCGAAAGGCUCAUUAAAUCAGUUAUGGUUCCUUAGAUCGUACCACAUUUACUUGGAUAACUGUGGUAAUUCUAGAGCUAAUACAUGCAAACAGAGCUCCGACCGGAGACGGAAGGAGUGCUUUUAUUAGAUCAAAACCAAUCGGCGGCGCGCCGGUUCGCCGGCGUCGUCCGCCGAAAUAACUGGUGACUCUGAAUAACUUUAUGCUGAUCGCACGGUCUCGCACCGGCGACGCAUCUUUCAAAUGUCUGCCUUAUCAACUGUCGAUGGUAGGUUCUGCGCCUACCAUGGUUGUAACGGGUAACGGGGAAUCAGGGUUCGAUUCCGGAGAGGGAGCCUGAGAAACGGCUACCACAUCCAAGGAAGGCAGCAGGCGCGCAAAUUACCCACUCCCGGCACGGGGAGGUAGUGACGAAAAAUAACGAUACGGGACUCAUCCGAGGCCCCGUAAUCGGAAUGAGAACACUUUAAAUCCUUUAACAAGGACCAAUUGGAGGGCAAGUCUGGUGCCAGCAGCCGCGGUAAUUCCAGCUCCAAUAGCGUAUAUUAAAGUUGUUGCGGUUAAAAAGCUCGUAGUUGAAUCUGUGUCCCGCGCUGUCGGUUCACCGCCCGCGGUGUUCAACCGGCACGUCGCGGGACGUCCUGCCGGUGGGACCGCUGCAGUCCGGCAACCGGCGCUCGGUGUCUCGCCCCCGCUGGCUCGGGUUGUCCAACCGUCGCGCUCACGCGCUUCGGCGGCACCCGGCUAAGUCACGGGUGUGCGUGCCCGUUCGUCGGCCCGGCGCUGACCGACCCGACUAUCUCGCCGUGGUGCUCUUGACUGAGUGUCUCGGCGGGCCGGCACGUUUACUUUGAACAAAUUAGAGUGCUCAAAGCAGGCCGAAAGUACGCCUGAAUAUUGUGUGCAUGGAAUAAUGAAACAGGACCUCGGUUCUAUUUUGUUGGUUUCCGGAAUCCCGAGGUAAUGAUUAAUAGGGACAGAUGGGGGCAUUCGUAUUGCGACGUUAGAGGUGAAAUUCUUGGACCGUCGCAAGACGGACAGAAGCGAAAGCAUUUGCCAAAGAUGUUUUUCAUUAAUCAAGAACGAAAGUCAGAGGUUCGAAGGCGAUCAGAUACCGCCCUAGUUCUGACCAUAAACGAUGCCAGCUAGCGAUCCGCCGAAGUUCCUCCGAUGACUCGGCGGGCAGCUUCCGGGAAACCAAAGCUUUUGGGUUCCGGGGGAAGUAUGGUUGCAAAGCUGAAACUUAAAGGAAUUGACGGAAGGGCACCACCAGGAGUGGAGCCUGCGGCUUAAUUUGACUCAACACGGGAAACCUCACCAGGCCCAGACACCGGAAGGAUUGACAGAUUGAGAGCUCUUUCUUGAUUCGGUGGGUGGUGGUGCAUGGCCGUUCUUAGUUGGUGGAGCGAUUUGUCUGGUUAAUUCCGAUAACGAACGAGACUCUGGCCUGCUAACUAGGCGUACAUUUCCGGCAUCUCGAAGGCUCCGCGCCCCGGUGGCGGUCGUGCCGCGGCCCGACGUCCGUUCGGCACAUGUGUCGUUCGGCGGCGGUAGUCGCGCGCGCGUGCUCGCUGUCGCGGGUGGCGGGUUUUUACUGCCGGCGUACAUAUGAAUCUUCUUAGAGGGACAGGCGGCUUCUAGCCGCACGAGAUUGAGCAAUAACAGGUCUGUGAUGCCCUUAGAUGUUCUGGGCCGCACGCGCGCUACACUGAAGGAAUCAGCGUGUCCUCCCUGGCCGAACGGUCCGGGUAACCCGCUGAACCUCCUUCGUGCUAGGGAUUGGGGCUUGCAAUUGUUCCCCAUGAACGAGGAAUUCCCAGUAAACGCGAGUCAUAAGCUCGCGUUGAUUACGUCCCUGCCCUUUGUACACACCGCCCGUCGCUACUACCGAUUGAAUGAUUUAGUGAGGUCUUCGGACCGGUACGCGGCGGCGCCUUUGGCGUCGCCGCUGUCUCUGGAAGAUGACCGAACUUGCUCAUUU